RNAcentral lists this ribosomal RNA (465 nucleotides) under uncultured bacterium. RNAcentral's name for it is "partial 16S ribosomal RNA". It matches the Rfam family "Bacterial small subunit ribosomal RNA", at positions 28 to 507 of the family's 1533-position model. The record is from RNAcentral.
GAUGAACGCUGGCGGCGUGCUUAACACAUGCAAGUCGAACGGAAAGGCUCCUGCUUGCAGGGGUACUCGAGUGGCGAACGGGUGAGUAACACGUGGGUGAUCUGCCCUGCACUUCGGGAUAAGCCUGGGAAACUGGGUCUAAUACCGGAUAGGACGAUGGUUUGGAUGCCAUUGUGGAAAGUUUUUCGGUGUGGGAUGAGCUCGCGGCCUAUCAGCUUGUUGGUGGGGUAAUGGCCUACCAAGGCGUCGACGGGUAGCCGGCCGGAGAGGGUGUACGGCCACAUUGGGACUGCGAUACGGCCCAGACUCCUACGGGAGGCAGCAGUGGGGAAUAUUGCACAAUGGGCGCAAGCCUGAUGCAGCGACGCCGCGUGUGGGAUGACGGCCUUCGGGUUGUAAACUCCUUUCGCUAGGGACGAAGCGCAAGUGACGGUACCUGGAGAAGAAGCACCGGCUAACUACGUG